GACGAACGCUGGCGGCGUGCCUAAUACAUGCAAGUCGAGCGAAGUUUUUCUGGUGCUUGCACUAGAAAAACUUAGCGGCGAACGGGUGAGUAACACGUAAAGAACCUGCCUCAUAGACUGGGACAACUAUUGGAAACGAUAGCUAAUACCGGAUAACAGCAUUAACUGCAUGGUUGAUGUUUAAAAGUGGGUUUUGCUAACACUAUGAGAUGGCUUUGCGGUGCAUUAGCUAGUUGGUGGGGUAAAGGCCUACCAAGGCGACGAUGCAUAGCCGACCUGAGAGGGUGAUCGGCCACACUGGGACUGAGACACGGCCCAGACUCCUACGGGAGGCAGCAGUAGGGAAUCUUCCGCAAAGGGCGAAAGCCUGACGGAGCAACGCCGCGUGAGUGAAGAAGGAUUUCGGUUCGUAAAGCUCUGUUGUUAGGGAAGAAUGAUUGUGUAGUAACUAUACACAGUAGAGACGGUACCUAACCAGAAAGCCACGGCUAACUACGUG
This 499-nucleotide ribosomal RNA is filed under the name uncultured bacterium. Its description in RNAcentral is "partial 16S ribosomal RNA". It matches the Rfam family "Bacterial small subunit ribosomal RNA", at positions 28 to 507 of the family's 1533-position model. The record is from RNAcentral.